RNAcentral lists this ribosomal RNA (492 nucleotides) under uncultured bacterium. RNAcentral describes it as "partial 16S ribosomal RNA". It matches the Rfam family "Bacterial small subunit ribosomal RNA", at positions 29 to 507 of the family's 1533-position model. The record is from RNAcentral.
AGUGAACGCUGGCGGUAGGCCUAACACAUGCAAGUCGAACGGCAGCACAGUAAGAGCUUGCUCUUACGGGUGGCGAGUGGCGGACGGGUGAGGAAUACAUCGGAAUCUACUUUUUCGUGGGGGAUAACGUAGGGAAACUUACGCUAAUACCGCAUACGACCUACGGGUGGAAGCAGGGGAUCUUCGGACCUUGCGCGAUUGAAUGAGCCGAUGUCGGAUUAGCUAGUUGGCGGGGUAAAGGCCCACCAAGGCGACGAUCCGUAGCUGGUCUGAGAGGAUGAUCAGCCACACUGGAACUGAGACACGGUCCAGACUCCUACGGGAGGCAGCAGUGGGGAAUAUUGGACAAUGGGCGCAAGCCUGAUCCAGCCAUACCGCGUGGGCGAAGAAGGCCUUCGGGUUGUAAAGCCCUUUUGUUGGGAAAGAAAAGCAGCAGGUUAAUACCCCGCUGUUCUGACGGUACCCAAAGAAUAAGCACCGGCUAACUUCGUG